UUUCCGUAGGUGAACCUGCGGAAGGAUCAUUACAGUAGUCACCCAGGUUGCCGCAAGGCCUCCUGGGUAACCUACCACCCUUUGUUUAUUACACUUUGUUGCUUUGGCACGCCUGCCCUCGCGCUGCUGGCUCCGGCCGGCGAGCGCUUGUCAGAGGACCUAAACUCUGUCUGUCUAUACUGUCUGAGUACUAUAUAAGAGUUAAAACUUUCAACAACGGAUCUCUUGGUUCUG
RNAcentral lists this unclassified non-coding RNA (234 nucleotides) under plant metagenome. RNAcentral's name for it is "partial contains small subunit ribosomal RNA, internal transcribed spacer 1, and 5.8S ribosomal RNA". The record is from RNAcentral.